GACAGAGGGUGCAAACGUUGUUCGGAAUUACUGGGCGUAAAGCGCGUGUAGGCGGCCCUGCAAGUCGGGUGUGAAAUCCCACGGCUCAACCGUGGAAGUGCACUCGAAAACUGCAGGGCUAGAGUCCUGGAGAGGAAGGUGGAAUGCUUGGUGUAGAGGUGAAAAUUUCGUAGAUAUCAAAGCGGAACACCGGUGGCGAAGGCGGCCUUCUGGACAGUG
RNAcentral lists this ribosomal RNA (219 nucleotides) under uncultured bacterium. RNAcentral describes it as "partial 16S ribosomal RNA". It matches the Rfam family "Bacterial small subunit ribosomal RNA", at positions 524 to 738 of the family's 1533-position model. The record is from RNAcentral.